Non-coding RNA from Podarcis muralis (Common wall lizard), 465 nucleotides. NCBI's taxonomy places the organism in Eukaryota, Metazoa, Chordata, Lepidosauria, Squamata, Lacertidae. The record is from RefSeq and is a predicted model, not a curated record.
UCGCUGGCUGGGGGGGGAUCUCGCCUAUUUAUAGCGCCUUUGGCUGAGCGGCGGCUCCCUGCCCCGAGCGGCUUGCAGUCUCCUCUCCCACCCAUGUCUCCUCCAUUCAAUCUCGUCACAGUGGAGGGAGGCGCAGCUGGUCCUUUGAGCAGACCCCGGGGUGGAUUUUUGUCACUCACUCUCUCUUCGCUGCCCGCUUUCUAACCGGCCAUAAAAGGGAAUGCAGAUCUCAAGUGGAAGAAGGUACUUUGUUGCUACUGUGGAGGAGUGGCAACAAUUCAUGCAACUCAAGAAGAACAAAGAACAAUUAAGUCCAACCCAGAAAGUUGUUGAAGAGAUGCAUACAUAAAAUGGACUGUGCUGCUGAUCAAUUCGGUUACCUGUUUUAAACAAUGGCAAAGAGACAUAACGGUGGAAUGGCAACUUGCAUUAGGAUAGAUUUUCUUCACUCCUGCAGGUGCAAGG